This 459-nucleotide ribosomal RNA is filed under the name uncultured bacterium. Its description in RNAcentral is "partial 16S ribosomal RNA". It matches the Rfam family "Bacterial small subunit ribosomal RNA", at positions 338 to 795 of the family's 1533-position model. The record is from RNAcentral.
CCUACGGGAGGCAGCAGUGAGGAAUAUUGGUCAAUGGUCGGGAGACUGAACCAGCCAAGCCGCGUGAGGGAUGAAGGUACACAGUAUCGUAAACCUCUUUUGUCAGGGAACAAAGGCGGGGACGUGUCCCCGGAUGAGUGUACCUGAAGAAAAAGCAUCGGCUAACUCCGUGCCAGCAGCCGCGGUAAUACGGAGGAUGCGAGCGUUAUCCGGAUUUAUUGGGUUUAAAGGGUGCGCAGGCGGUCUGUUAAGUCAGCGGUCAAAGCCCGGGGCUCAACCCCGGCCCGCCGUUGAAACUGGCAGUCUAGAGUUGGAGAGAAGUAUGCGGAAUGCGCGGUGUAGCGGUGAAAUGCAUAGAUAUCGCGCAGAACUCCGAUUGCGAAGGCAGCAUGCCGGCUCCACACUGACGCUGAGGCACGAAAGCGUGGGUAUCGAACAGGAUUAGAUACCCCAGUAGUC